CACUAAGAAGCUUUUACAGCACUAGCCUUUUAAGCUAGAGACGGGGGCAAGCAGCCCCCCUUAAUGAA
Molecule: transfer RNA, 68 nt
Filed under: Brachymeles apus
Lineage: Eukaryota; Metazoa; Chordata; Lepidosauria; Squamata; Scincidae
Description: tRNA-Lys
Rfam family: tRNA
About the family: Transfer RNA (tRNA) molecules are approximately 80 nucleotides in length. Their secondary structure includes four short double-helical elements and three loops (D, anti-codon, and T loops). Further hydrogen bonds mediate the characteristic L-shaped molecular structure. tRNAs have two regions of fundamental functional importance: the anti-codon, which is responsible for specific mRNA codon recognition, and the 3' end, to which the tRNAs corresponding amino acid is attached (by aminoacyl-tRNA synthetases). tRNAs cope with the degeneracy of the genetic code in two manners: having more than one tRNA (with a specific anti-codon) for a particular amino acid; and 'wobble' base-pairing, i.e. permitting non-standard base-pairing at the 3rd anti-codon position.
Source: RNAcentral